CCCCGCGCGCUUCUUCUCCUCCUGCUCCCUUCUCCCCAGUGUGCCCCCCCCAUCCCCCGCUGGGCCUGCGCUGUGUCAGUGUGCCACUAAUUAAGGACUCUUAAAGCUAUGGCCUACACUCAUUAGUAAACUGUAGCAUCCUUACUGUCCAGGGAGGGGGGGAGGGGGGGGGGCAGCAAACUCAACAGCUGAUUCAGUUUGAGGACCUGCUGUCACCUGUGGCAAACACUUCUGUUGGGGUCCAUAAGGUCAUGAAGAACAACUAUUGCGUUAAAAUAUGUAUUUAUUUGACAUUGUUUUUUCUUUUUGUUAUUGUGGUCUUCUUCCAUCCAGAUUAGUAGCAUGUAUUAUCAUUUAUGUUUCUGAUAAAAACUGCUCCUUCCAAAGAAAAUACUGGACCAAUGCUGGAGCAUUUGUUGAGGGCUUGUUAGUUUUAUUUCAUUGUGCUGUUAUCUUUUGUUCAUUAUUCACUGCCUAUUAAAAUUGACUAAGGCAGCGUUAAUCAGAGUUGCAUUUUGUUGUUGCUCUAUUCAUGUGAGUACUGUUCGUCAGCUCUUUUAGGUGUCGCCAUUGUUGUCGCUAUUGUUCUUGUUGUUAAACUCCAUCACUCCUCCUCCCUCUCCCCCAACGUUCAGCUGCCCCUCCCACUUGCCGCUUUGUUUAUUCCUUUUUCAUGGAAAUGAAGAACUAAACAAAUGUGUUGUUGUUAAUGAAAGUAGGCCAAACAACUGCUGACAAACAAGAGGGGUAGUUGUAGGUCAGUACGGCACAAGCCAUGCGUUACUGUGUCAGCGGACAGGCUGGCGUCGGUCGGCCACAAUAGACAAUAACAUGAGAGCUACAUGCAUGCUCGCCCUCUGAGAGGAUGUAGACUGGGCACAUACACGUCAUCAACAGAAUUAUUAUCAACAAGUCAACAUAACUCAGAAUACGAGGGGUCACAACCACUCAUAAUCCACAAAUAUACCAACAACAAAAAACUCCCGGACUGGAUCAUUUAGAUUAUAUUAUGGCAGAUAGAAUGGAAAUAUAAAGUGCAAUUGAAAAUAGAAACACUCACGUUAAGGUGACAGUUAAAUCAGACUUUGAUACCAAUUCUUGGUUUACAGUCUGAAACAAAGCACUGCAAAACUUAAACUUAGUUUACUUACAAGCCAGAGUGUUGAAUAAAAUGUGAUGUGAACUUACUGUAAGGUCUGUCGAUUCGGUUGGCCCUUCGGUGGGUCGUAAUUUGAGACCAUACCCACAGGAAAGUAUUAUUUACCCUGACUUUUUAGUGCACCGGUACUGCCGUUGAAAUUUCUAUCACCUGGUACAUGAGCAAAACCAUGUAAACAACACCUGCACGACGGUUAGUAUGCAUGCAUCACAUGCAUGUACUUCCGUCUUGUGCACGUGCCUUAGGUCUGCAACAAACUAAUCUUGAUUGCCACACACAGAGACCCACGUUUUGAAGUCUGUUUAAUAAUACUUUCCUGUGGAUAUUUUGACUCAAAUUUCGACCGACUAAAGGACCAGCCCCACAGACAAUUGGCAGAGUAAGUUCAAAUAUAGAUUUUAUUCAACAUUCGUGACAGACAAAGGACGUUUCUGUUUCUAUGCCUACACAAUGGAAGGCGUCGCCACAAUUGAUACUAAGGUGACAGCUACACUAACUGCUUCUACUCACCCAACGUACAAAGAUGUUGUUGAUAAUUGGCAUGUUCCAGGACUCCGUAUUUGACUAGUUGUUUGAUACUUUGUUUAAUUUUUCAGUUGACCUGGAGGUUAGGAUCUUCGUCAUCACAACCAAGAGGGACUUGACCUCAGUGACUCCUAGAUGCUUCUGAAACUACCCCAAUAACCUGUCGCAGAUUGAAGGAGUUAAUAAAUCAAAGACCAACACAAGCACUUCAUUUCAUCUGUUUUAUUCAUCUGUGAAACAACAAUCUUUUCCUAUGAGUGAAUAAGGCAUUAUCCCUACUGCCCUGAAGCAGCAGCCCAUGGUUGAAGUACAGGCGGCCACCCACAGGAAGUCAUGAUGUCUGGCAUGGUGGACCCUUUGUGCAGCUAUGCUUGGUGAGAGCAAAUGGAUUUGGGGUUGAAAGUUAUAAUGGAGAAAACGGCACCUGCCUGCUGGGCUUGCUGCACUUCCUGUGCCCCUUUUUGUGUCAUGUUGGUUUUGUAUUUGUGAUUUCAAUUAGCAGGGUUUUUAAAGUAAAAUAAUGGAAACGGAGUAACUGAUAAGGGGAGGCAAAGUAUGGACAACUCAAUGAAUUGAUGGUUAACAUUUGAAAUGUUUAAUGGAGAAAGCCAUGCCUUCAAAAUAAAUGUUAAAAACUGA
Salvelinus fontinalis (brook trout) is the source of this 2323-nucleotide long non-coding RNA. RefSeq lists it as uncharacterized. Lineage: Eukaryota; Metazoa; Chordata; Actinopteri; Salmoniformes; Salmonidae. The transcript has 2 exons. The record is from RefSeq and is a predicted model, not a curated record.